GCUCAGGAUGAACGCUGGCGGCGUGCUUAACACAUGCAAGUCGAACGAGGUCUUCGGACCAAGUGGCGGACGGGUGAGUAACGCGUGAGUAUCUGCCCAAAGGUGGGGGACAACCAUUGGAAACGAUGGCUAAUACCCCAUAUGCCGAGAGGUGAAAGGUUUACUGCCUUUGGAUGAGCUCGCGUCUGAUUAGCUAGAUGGUGGGGUAAUGGCUUACCAUGGCGACGAUCAGUAGCUGGUCUGAGAGGAUGAUCAGCCACACUGGGACUGAGACACGGCCCAGACUCCUACGGGAGGCAGCAGUGGGGAAUUUUCCGCAAUGGGCGAAAGCCUGACGGAGCAACGCCGCGUGAGGGAGGAAUGUCUUUGGAUUGUAAACCUCUUUUCUCAAGGAAGAUAAUGACGGUACUUGAGGAGUCAGCAUCGGCUAACUCCGUGCCAGCAGCCGCGGUAAUACGGGGGAUGCAAGCGUUAUCCGGAAUUAUUGGGCGUAAAGCGUCCGUAGGCGGCUAGAUAAGUCUGUUGUUAAAGCGUGCAGCUCAACUGCAUAUCGGCAAUGGAAACUAUUUAGCUAGAGUGUGGUAGGGGUAGAGGGAAUUCCCGGUGUAGCGGUGAAAUGCGUAGAUAUCGGGAAGAACACCAGUGGCGAAAGCGCUCUGCUGGGCCACAACUGACGCUGAUGGACGAAAGCUAGGGGAGCGAAAGGGAUUAGAUACCCCUGUAGUCCUAGCCGUAAACGAUGACACUAAGGUGUUGUCUGUAUCGACCCGGACAGUGCCGUAGCUAACGCGUUAAGUGUUCCGCCUGGGGAGUACGCACGCAAGUGUGAAACUCAA
RNAcentral lists this ribosomal RNA (836 nucleotides) under uncultured marine bacterium. RNAcentral's name for it is "bacterial SSU rRNA". It matches the Rfam family "Bacterial small subunit ribosomal RNA", at positions 22 to 904 of the family's 1533-position model. The record is from RNAcentral.